GAUUCUGGCUCAGGAUGAACGCUAGCGGUAGGCCUAACACAUGCAAGUCGAGGGGCAUCACAUGAAGUAGCAAUACGGAUGGUGGCGACCGGCGCACGGGUGAGUAACACGUAUGCAACCUGCCUUCAACAAGGGCAUAACCCGUUGAAAGACGGACUAAUUCCCUAUAACACAGGGGUCCCGCAUGGGAAUAUUUGUUAAAGAUUAAUCGGUUGAAGAUGGGCAUGCGUUCCAUUAGCUGGUUGGCGGGGUAACGGCCCACCAAGGCAACGAUGGAUAGGGGAACUGAGAGGUUUAUCCCCCACACUGGUACUGAGACACGGACCAGACUCCUACGGGAGGCAGCAGUGAGGAAUAUUGGUCAAUGGACGCAAGUCUGAACCAGCCACGUCCGCGUGAAGGAAGACGGCCCUACGGGUUGUAAACUUCUUUUGUAAGGGAAUAAAGUGGGCCACGUGUGGCUUUUUGCAUGUACCUUACGAAUAAGGAUCGGCUAACUCCGUGCCAGCAGCAGC
This 515-nucleotide ribosomal RNA is filed under the name uncultured bacterium. Its description in RNAcentral is "bacterial SSU rRNA". It matches the Rfam family "Bacterial small subunit ribosomal RNA", at positions 15 to 518 of the family's 1533-position model. The record is from RNAcentral.